Molecule: ribosomal RNA, 255 nt
Filed under: uncultured bacterium
Lineage: Bacteria
Description: partial 16S ribosomal RNA
Rfam family: Bacterial small subunit ribosomal RNA
Source: RNAcentral
CGGACGAGUGAGUAACGCGUGGAUAACCUGCCGUAUACCGGGGGAUAACACUUAGAAAUAGGUGCUAAUACCGCAUAAGCGCACGGCUCCGCAUGGGGCAGUGUGAAAAACUCCGGUGGUAUACGAUGGAUCCGCGUCUGAUUAGCUAGUUGGCGGGGUAACGGCCCACCAAGGCAGCGAUCAGUAGCCGGCCUGAGAGGGUGGACGGCCACAUUGGGACUGAGACACGGCCCAAACUCCUACGGGAGGCAGCAG